UUUCUUUUAGCCCGACAUGCUCUAGAUCAUUCCCUUGGUGGCCGGCUGUGACAAACAAAAUGGUUAAAAGGAGAUGAAACCCUAUAGUGUGAAGGAAACAUAAAGCUCACGCCUCAUCCAUCUGUCUUCAACGCCACCAUCGGCUUCAAUUCCAUUAGAUCAGGAUGGACAUCUGAUCACAAUGUAAUGUGUUGAAUUCACUAAUCUCAAAAGGCUACAUCUCAAACAACAUGGUUUUCCUACCAUAGAGAAAUCAGAUCAAGAUCUAGUUUCAGUCCAUUUUGCCUGGUGGAAGAAAAUGGCCCAAUUCUUCAUCAUUUUCAAUAAGCUUGUCAAUUUGUUAAUUGUGGAGGGUAAAUUUUGUUUCAGUACGAAUGAUCGGGUGCUUUAUGAUGACAUUGCUCAAAGCGAGAUAGAAGCUGCGUUGAGCCAUAUCGGAGCCUGUCGAUCUUCAAGUUGAACUACAUCGUGUCAUUGUUUUUGGAAGUCAUGGCUCGUGGUAAUAAGAUACGCAGGGUUCAAGAUAUGUUGUCUCAACCACCAGCUGCUCUUGAUAGGGAUGCAAGUAGGGUUGAGGAAUCAGUCCAUCCGACCCAUGAUCAGCAGAGAUAUAGGGAUGUAGCCCAGCCUGACUUAAUAGCUGAUAGGAUUGCCACCGAUGUUGCUUCUGCUCUACGCAAUACAGAUAAAGAUUGUAGUAUGGAGCGGGCUACUAAAUUAGGAGCUGAAGUAUUUACAGGCGCAGUUGAUCUAGUAGAAGCAGAAUCAUUGAUGACAGCUGAUCCAGUAGAAGCAGAAUCAUGGAUGGUGAGGAUUGAAAGAAUAUUUGAUGUGAUGGAUUGUCUUGAUGAUUGAAAAUUACAACUAGCUACUUUCUUGUUAGAAGGAUGUGCUUAUGAUUAGUGGAGGUCCGUAUAGAGUAAAUAUGUUGAUCCUUCUGUGAUCACGCGGGACGAGUUUAAAGAUGAUUUUAAUGAGCAUUUCUACCCUCGUUCUUACAAAAUUGACAAACAGAAUGAAUUUUUGAGAAUAGUACAGACAUCAACAGUGGCGGAGUAUCAGAAGAAAUUUCUAAAAUUAUCAAAGUAUGUUGUUGCUCUUGUAGCUGAUGAAGUUGAUAAAUGUAGAAGAUUUGACUAUGGCCUGAGAGAAGAAAUUAGAUCAGUGGUGAUUGCGUUUGGGUUUGAAAAUUUGGGUAAACUUGUAGAAGCAGCAUUAAGGGUUGAGAAAAGUUUGUCUGAACGAUAUGGUGGUCAACAACAAAAGAGACCGAAAAUUGGAAGCAGUAGUUAGACAUGGGCAGGAAGAUCUAUGACUAGGCCACCGAGGAGGGAUCGUAGUGGAGGUAGAUUAGGUGUUUCCACUUCUGGCAGUUUGAAGUCCAGAUCUCAUGGCAGUUAAGGCUUUGAGGUCGAGUCAGGGAUCAGUACAUCAGCCAGGGAGUAACUGUACUUAGACUCAGAGAUCUUCUCAGAGAUCAUACACUCCUGGAUAGAGUGAUAGCUCUGGUGUGGCCAGAUUUCCCCAAUACCAGUUGUGCAGGAAAUUUCACCCUGGUGAGUGUCUUAAGGGAAUUGGAGUGUGUUAUCAUUGUGGUCAGACGAGACACAUGAGGAGAGAGUGUCCAGUUCGUUUCCAGCAGGGUGGCAUAUCACGGGUUUUUUUGCAAUCGGGUGCUGGCAUUUCUAGAUAGAAUCAGAAUCAGAAUACUUUGGUAGGCAAAAUAGGUGCUACUCAGUCUGAUGCUGCUGGCAGCAGUGGUACUAGACAGAAAGGCCAGGAUGGACGAUCCAGAACUCAGGGAAGAGUGUUUGUAGUGACUCAGCAUGAUGCCGACGAGUCACUAGAUGUGGUUAUGGGUACGUUAACUAUUUUUGGCAAAAAGGCCCAUUCUUUAAUAGAUUUAGGUGAUACACAUUCAUUUAUAUCUUAUGCAUCUGUGAUUUAUGCGGACCAUAUGUCAGAAUCAUUAAAUAGUGAUUUGGUGGUAGCAACUCCUGUAGGAGAUUCACUUUUAACUAACAGUGUGUACAAAGAUUGCGUAAUUAGAGUAAAUGAUCAUGAGUUGAAAGCUAAUUUGAUUCUACUUGAUAUUCAUGAUUUUGACGUGGUAUUGGACAUGGAUUUUUUGUCUGUAAAUCAUGCAUUAGUUGAUUGUUUUCGUAAAGAAGUGGUGUUUUGAAGGUCAGGAUAGCCUGAAAUUGUUUUUCCUGAAGAUCUUCCAGGGUUAUAUCCUGAUAGGGAAAUCAAGUUUACUAUUUAUUUUAUUUCAGGGACUACCCCUAUUUCACAAUCACCUUACAGAAUGGUUCCAUCAGAGCUGAAGGAAUUGAAAGUUCAAUUGCAGGAUUUAGUUGACAAGGGUUUCAUUAGACUCAGUGUAUCUCCAUGGGGAGCUCGUCUUAUUUGUGAAUAAGAAAGAUGGCACAAUGAGAUUGUGUAUUGACUAUAGACAGUUGAAUAAAGUGACAGUCCGCAACAAGUAUCUGUUGCUUCGUAUUGAUGAUUUGUUUGACCAACUUAGAGGUGCCUCAGUAUUUUCAAAGAUUUAUUUACGUUCAGGGUAUCAUCAGUUCAGAAUUAGGGAUAUUGAUGUACCAAAAACUGCUUUUAGGUCACGGUAUGGCCAUUAUGAGUUUUUGGUGAUGCCAUUUGGGUUGACUAAUGCCCCUGCAGCGUUUAUGGACUUGAUAAAUAGAGCGCUUUGCCCAUAUUUAGACAAAUUUGUGAUUAUUUUUAUUGAUGAUAUCUUAGUUUAUUCUCGCAGUAGAGAUGAGUAUCUCGCAGUAGAGAUGAGUAUGUUGAGCAUUUAAGGAUUAUUUUACAGACUUUGCGAGAUAAAUAGUUGUAUGCUAAGCUCAACAGAUGUGAAUUUUGGCUGGAUGAAGUUGUAUUUUUGGGUAAUAUUAUCUCAGCUGAAGGUAUUUAUGUAGAUUCUUAGAAAAUUGAAGUAGUAACGAAAUGGGAACGCCCUACUAAUGUUAUAGAAGUAUGGAGUUUUCUUAGGUUAAUAGGUUAUUAUCGUCGAUUUGGAGAGGAAUUUUUCAAAAUUGCUCUUCCUUUGACUAGUUUGACUCGAAAGAACUCCAAAUUUGCGUGGACUGAUGAAUGUGAAAAGUGUUUUCAAGAGUUAAAGAAAAUAUUAGUUUCUGCUCCAGUACUUACUCUUCCAUCUUCAGGUAAAGAGUUUGUGAUUUAUAGUGAUGCUUCACGCCAAGGAUUGAAUUGUGUUCUAAUGCAGAAUGAGAAAGUUGUAGCUUAUGCUUCUAGACAAUUAAAGAAGCAUGAGUUAAAUUACCCAACUCAUGAUUUAGAGUUAGCUGCAGUAGUGUUGGCAUUGAAGAUUUGGAGACAUUAUCAUUAUGGUGAGAAAUGUCAAAUAUUUACUGAUCACAAAAGUUUAAAGUAUAUAUUUGAUCAGAAAGAACUGAAUCUAAGGCAAAGGAGAUGGCUGAAGUUGAUAAAAAAUUAUGAUUGUAAGAUUGACUACCAUCCAUGAAAAGCAAAUGUAGUUGCAGAUGCUAUCAAUAGAAAGACAAGUUCAUCCUCUCCAUCUAGUGCAGUUUAUGCUUCUUUGAUUUGUGAGUUCAAGAAGUUACACACUGAGCUGACAACUACUACUACAGGGAUGGUAUUAGCUCAUUUUCAGGUGAGGCCUACUUUGAUUGAUAAGGUUAGAGAAGCUCAAUCUCAAGACCAGACAUUGAGAAUAUGGAAAGCAGAAGUUAGUAUUGGGUUAAGAACCGAUUAUGUGAUUAGAGAUGAUGGGGGCAUUGGCUAUGGUAAUAGAUUAUGUGUUCCAAAUAUUUCAGAAUUGAAGAAAGAGAUUUUGGAAGAAGCAAACAGUUUUGCUUAUGCUAUGCAUCCAGGCAGUAUUAAAAUGUAUCAUACAUUGAAAGAUUAUUAUUGGUGGGUUGGUAUGGAGAGAGAGAUCAGAUUUUGUAUCCACAUGUCUUAUAUGUCAGCAGGUAAAGCCAGUUCGUUAGAAAACAGCAGGACUUUUACAGCCAUUGCCUAUCCCAAAAUGGAAAUGGGAACACAUUAUUAUGGAUUUUUUAUUUGGCCUUUCUCGUACUCAGAAUGGUCAUGAUGGAGUUUGGGUUAUCGUAGAUCGUUUGAUCAAGAUGGCCAAAUUUUUGCCAAUCAAAGCUACUUAUACUUUAAAUAAGUUGGCAAAGUUGUACAUGGAUGAAAUAGUGAGCUCUUACGGUACUCCAUUAUCUAUUGUGUCAGAUAGAGACCCUCGUUUUACAUCUAAAUUUUGGCCCAGUUUGCAGGAAGUCAUGGGUACUAAACUACAUUUCGGUAUAGCUUUUCAUCCUCAGACAGAUGGCCAGUCAGAGAGGACCAUACAGUUUCUUGAGGAUAUGUUGAGGGCUUGUGUUUUAAAGCUCAAGGGUAGCUGUGAUAUUCAUUUGUCAUUGAUGAAUAGCUAUCACUCUAGUAUAUAAAUGACUCCUUUUGAAGCCUUACAUGGUCGGAAGUGCAUGACACUAGUUUGUUGGGAUGAAGCUAGUAAGAGGAAGUUAGAAGGCUCGGAAUUGGUUCAAAUGACAUCCGAAAAUGUGAAAUUGAUCAAAGAAAAGUAAUGCAGCUCAAGAGAGAUAGAAAAGGUAUGCUGAUAGGCACAGGAACGAUCUUGAAUUUGUAGUUGGAGAUAAAGUAUUUCUUAAAUUGUCACCUUGGAAAGGGGUGUUGAGAUUUGGCAAGCGAGGAAAGUUGAGUCCACGAUACAUUGGACCCUAUGAGAUUACUGAGCGAAUUGGCCCAGUUGCAUACCGAUUAGAUCUGCUCGAUGAAUUAUCUCGGAUCCAUGAUGUUUUUAAUGUUUCCAUGCUUCACAAGUACAUUGCUGAUCAUUCUCGUGUUCUGGAGUCUCAACCAAUCCAGUUGAAAGAAAAUUUAACAUAUAUAGAAGAGCCCGUGAGAAUUUUAGACAAAAAGGUGCAAAUUCAGUGAAAUCAGACAGUUUCACUUGUUAAGGUACUUUGGCAGAAUCAGAUGGUAGAAGAGGCUACGUGAGAGAAUGAGGAUCAGAUGCGUGCUCAAUAUCCUCACUUAUUCAUUACUCAGUCAGUUGCCAGUUGAAUUUCGAGGACGAAAUUCUUUUAAGGAGAGUAACGUGAGACAAGCAGAGACCGUGAGAGAAGAAAGAAAAAAGAAAAGAAUAAAGGAAAAAGAAGAAGAAAAAGGAUGGGAGAAAAAAAAAAGAAAGGGAAGAAGAAAAGAGGUAAGGUUAAUUUCUUCAAGUUAGAAUGUAAUUUAUCCAUUGUUCCAAGUGAUAAAGGUGUGAUUUAUGUUAAAUUUUUAGGGUUUUAACUUGUAGUAAUAAAAUGUCAAAUUUAGGUGAUAUAUGUACGAUUUGGAGCUCAAGCUUGGAAUUAAUAAAGUUUCAGUUUCAGCAAGAUAGAAGCUGCGUUGAGCCAUAUCGGAGCCUGUCGAUCGGCGAGUUGAACUACAUCGUGUCAUUGUUUGUAUGUCUCAUCUCGUUAAUUCAUACAACACAUAUUUUCUGGGAUUGAUGUAUUUUGUUCAGAAAAUGUAUUAAGUCACAGGCUCGUUGCAUAUUUUGUGUAUGUUUUGAAAUGAAGUUGUUUGGUGGUAAAGAAGGGUAAAUUUCUUUUUCAGUAAAACUAUUUUGAAGAAUUGGUAUUUUGAGGGGCUGAUGUAUCAUGUUUUAAACUAUAUGUACAUGUUUAGAAUAUUUGAUUUUAUUUUCAGGUAGUUUUAGUCCAUUUUUCA
RNA transcript from Olea europaea var. sylvestris, 5742 nucleotides. RefSeq lists it as uncharacterized. NCBI's taxonomy places the organism in Eukaryota, Viridiplantae, Streptophyta, Magnoliopsida, Lamiales, Oleaceae. The record is from RefSeq and is a predicted model, not a curated record. The transcript is spliced from 6 exons.